GAUGAACGCUGGCGGCGUGCCUAAUACAUGCAAGUCGAGCGAACGGACGAGAAGCUUGCUUCUCUGAUGUUAGCGGCGGACGGGUGAGUAACACGUGGAUAACCUACCUAUAAGACUGGGAUAACUUCGGGAAACCGGAGCUAAUACCGGAUAAUAUUUUGAACCGCAUGGUUCAAAAGUGAAAGACGGUCUUGCUGUCACUUAUAGAUGGAUCCGCGCUGCAUUAGCUAGUUGGUAAGGUAACGGCUUACCAAGGCAACGAUGCACAGCCGACCUGAGAGGGUGAUCGGCCACACUGGAACUGAGACACGGUCCAGACUCCUACGGGAGGCAGCAGUAGGGAAUCUUCCGCAAUGGGCGAAAGCCUGACGGAGCAACGCCGCGUGAGUGAUGAAGGUCUUCGGAUCGUAAAACUCUGUUAUUAGGGAAGAACAUAUGUGUAAGUAACUGUGCACAUCUUGACGGUACCUAAUCAGAAAGCCACGGCUAACUACGUGCCAGCAGCCGCGGUAAUACGUAGGUGGCAAGCGUUAUCCGGAAUUAUUGGGCGUAAAGCGCGCGUAGGCGGUUUUUUAAGUCUGAUGUGAAAGCCCACGGCUCAACCGUGGAGGGUCAUUGGAAACUGGAAAACUUGAGUGCAGAAGAGGAAAGUGGAAUUCCAUGUGUAGCGGUGAAAUGCGCAGAGAUAUGGAGGAACACCAGUGGCGAAGGCGACUUUCUGGUCUGUAACUGACGCUGAUGUGCGAAAGCGUGGGGAUCAAACAGGAUUAGAUACCCUGGUAGUCCACGCCGUAAACGAUGAGUGCUAAGUGUUAGGGGGUUUCCGCCCCUUAGUGCUGCAGCUAACGCAUUAAGCACUCCGCCUGGGGAGUACGACCGCAAGGUUGAAACUCAAAGGAAUUGACGGGGACCCGCACAAGCGGUGGAGCAUGUGGUUUAAUUCGAAGCAACGCGAAGAACCUUACCAAAUCUUGACAUCCUUUGACAACUCUAGAGAUAGAGCCUUCCCCUUCGGGGGACAAAGUGACAGGUGGUGCAUGGUUGUCGUCAGCUCGUGUCGUGAGAUGUUGGGUUAAGUCCCGCAACGAGCGCAACCCUUAAGCUUAGUUGCCAUCAUUAAGUUGGGCACUCUAAGUUGACUGCCGGUGACAAACCGGAGGAAGGUGGGGAUGACGUCAAAUCAUCAUGCCCCUUAUGAUUUGGGCUACACACGUGCUACAAUGGACAAUACAAAGGGCAGCGAAACCGCGAGGUCAAGCAAAUCCCAUAAAGUUGUUCUCAGUUCGGAUUGUAGUCUGCAACUCGACUACAUGAAGCUGGAAUCGCUAGUAAUCGUAGAUCAGCAUGCUACGGUGAAUACGUUCCCGGGUCU
Molecule: ribosomal RNA, 1372 nt
Filed under: uncultured bacterium
Lineage: Bacteria
Description: bacterial SSU rRNA
Rfam family: Bacterial small subunit ribosomal RNA
Source: RNAcentral